This 449-nucleotide ribosomal RNA is filed under the name uncultured bacterium. RNAcentral describes it as "bacterial SSU rRNA". It matches the Rfam family "Bacterial small subunit ribosomal RNA", at positions 29 to 521 of the family's 1533-position model. The record is from RNAcentral.
AGCGAACGCUGGCGGCAGGCUUAACACAUGCAAGUCGAGCGGGCGUAGCAAUACGUCAGCGGCAGACGGGUGAGUAACGCGUGGGAACAUACCUUUUGGUUCGGAACAACACAGGGAAACUUGUGCUAAUACCGGAUAAGCCCUUACGGGGAAAGAUUUAUCGCCGAAAGAUUGGCCCGCGUCUGAUUAGCUAGUUGGUGAGGUAACGGCUCACCAAGGCGACGAUCAGUAGCUGGCUGAGAGGAUGAUCAGCCACAUUGGGACUGAGACACGGCCCAAACUCCUACGGGAGGCAGCAGUGGGGAAUAUUGGACAAUGGGCGCAAGCCUGAUCCAGCCAUGCCGCGUGAGUGAUGAAGGCCCUAGGGUUGUAAAGCUCUUUUGUGCGGGAAGAUAAUGACGGUACCGCAAGAAUAAGCCCCGGGCUAACUUCGUGCCAGCAGCCGCCGU